This 505-nucleotide ribosomal RNA is filed under the name uncultured bacterium. Its description in RNAcentral is "partial 16S ribosomal RNA". It matches the Rfam family "Bacterial small subunit ribosomal RNA", at positions 28 to 507 of the family's 1533-position model. The record is from RNAcentral.
GACGAACGCUGGCGGCGUGCCUAAUACAUGCAAGUAGAACGCACAGUUUAUACCGUAGCUUGCUACACCAUAAACUGUGAGUUGCGAACGGGUGAGUAACGCGUAGGUAACCUGCCUGGUAGCGGGGGAUAACUAUUGGAAACGAUAGCUAAUACCGCAUAAUAUUGAUUAUUGCAUGAUAAUUGAUUGAAAGAUGCUAUUGCAUCACUACCAGAUGGACCUGCGUUGUAUUAGCUAGUAGGUGAGGUAACGGCUCACCUAGGCGACGAUACAUAGCCGACCUUAGAGGGUGAUCGGCCACACUGGGACUGGGACACGGCCCAGACUCCUACGGGAGGCAGCAGUAGGGAAUCUUCGGCAAUGGACGAAAGUCUGACCGAGCAACGCCGCGUGAGUGAAGAAGGUUUUCGGAUCGUAAAGCUCUGUUGUAAGAGAAGAACGGGUGUGAGAGUGGAAAGUUCACACUGUGACGGUAUCUUACCAGAAAGGGACGGCUAACUACGUG